This 1489-nucleotide ribosomal RNA is filed under the name Lactiplantibacillus plantarum. RNAcentral describes it as "bacterial SSU rRNA". It matches the Rfam family "Bacterial small subunit ribosomal RNA". Lineage: Bacteria; Bacillati; Bacillota; Bacilli; Lactobacillales; Lactobacillaceae. The record is from RNAcentral.
GACGAACGCUGGCGGCGUGCCUAAUACAUGCAAGUCGAACGAACUCUGGUAUUGAUUGGUGCUUGCAUCAUGAUUUACAUUUGAGUGAGUGGCGAACUGGUGAGUAACACGUGGGGAAUCUGCCCAGAAGCGGGGGAUAACACCUGGAAACAGAUGCUAAUACCGCAUAACAACUUGGACCGCAUGGUCCGAGUUUGAAAGAUGGCUUCGGCUAUCACUUUUGGAUGGUCCCGCGGCGUAUUAGCUAGGUGGUGGGGUAACGGCUCACCAUGGCAAUGAUACGUAGCCGACCUGAGAGGGUAAUCGGCCACAUUGGGACUGAGACACGGCCCAAACUCCUACGGGAGGCAGCAGUAGGGAAUCUUCCACAAUGGACGAAAGUCUGAUGGAGCAACGCCGCGUGAGUGAAGAAGGGUUUCGGCUCGUAAAACUCUGUUGUUAAAGAAGAACAUAUCUGAGAGUAACUGUUCAGGUAUUGACGGUAUUUAACCAGAAAGCCACGGCUAACUACGUGCCAGCAGCCGCGGUAAUACGUAGGUGGCAAGCGUUGUCCGGAUUUAUUGGGCGUAAAGCGAGCGCAGGCGGUUUUUUAAGUCUGAUGUGAAAGCCUUCGGCUCAACCGAAGAAGUGCAUCGGAAACUGGGAAACUUGAGUGCAGAAGAGGACAGUGGAACUCCAUGUGUAGCGGUGAAAUGCGUAGAUAUAUGGAAGAACACCAGUGGCGAAGGCGGCUGUCUGGUCUGUAACUGACGCUGAGGCUCGAAAGUAUGGGUAGCAAACAGGAUUAGAUACCCUGGUAGUCCAUACCGUAAACGAUGAAUGCUAAGUGUAGGAGGGUUUCCGCCCUUCAGUGCUGCAGCUAACGCAUUAAGCAUUCCGCCUGGGGAGUACGGCCGCAAGGCUGAAACUCAAAGGAAUUGACGGGGGCCCGCACAAGCGGUGGAGCAUGUGGUUUAAUUCGAAGCUACGCGAAGAACCUUACCAGGUCUUGACAUACUAUGCAAAUCUAAGAGAUUAGACGUUCCCUUCGGGGACAUGGAUACAGGUGGUGCAUGGUUGUCGUCAGCUCGUGUCGUGAGAUGUUGGGUUAAGUCCCGCAACGAGCGCAACCCUUAUUAUCAGUUGCCAGCAUUAAGUUGGGCACUCUGGUGAGACUGCCGGUGACAAACCGGAGGAAGGUGGGGAUGACGUCAAAUCAUCAUGCCCCUUAUGACCUGGGCUACACACGUGCUACAAUGGAUGGUACAACGAGUUGCAAACUCGCGAGAGUAAGCUAAUCUCUUAAAGCCAUUCUCAGUUCGGAUUGUAGGCUGCAACUCGCCUACAUGAAGUCGGAAUCGCUAGUAAUCGCGGAUCAGCAUGCCGCGGUGAAUACGUUCCCGGGCCUUGUACACACCGCCCGUCACACCAUGAGAGUUUGUAACACCCAAAGUCGGUGGGGUAACCUUUUAGGAACCAGCCGCCUAAGGUGGGACAGAUGAUUAGGGUG